GGAGCGGUAGUUCAGUUGGUUAGAAUACCUGCCUGUCACGCAGGUGGUCGCGGGUUCGAGUCCCGUCCGUUCCGCCA
RNAcentral lists this transfer RNA (77 nucleotides) under Amphritea atlantica. RNAcentral's name for it is "tRNA_Asp_GTC". It matches the Rfam family "tRNA". Rfam says of the family: Transfer RNA (tRNA) molecules are approximately 80 nucleotides in length. Their secondary structure includes four short double-helical elements and three loops (D, anti-codon, and T loops). The record is from RNAcentral. RNAcentral also lists the same sequence under 2 other names. Lineage: Bacteria; Pseudomonadati; Pseudomonadota; Gammaproteobacteria; Oceanospirillales; Oceanospirillaceae.